GACGAACGCUGGCGGCGUGCUUAACACAUGCAAGUCGAACGGAAAGGCCCUGCUUGCAGGGUACUCGAGUGGCGAACGGGUGAGUAACACGUGGGUGAUCUGCACUGCACUUCGGGAUAAGCCUGGGAAACUGGGUCUAAUACCGGAUAUGACCUUCCAUGUGGUGCGGGGGGUGGAAUGAUUUAGCGGUGUGGGAUGAGCCCGCGGCCUAUCAGCUUGCUGGUGGGGUAAUGGCGUACCAAGGCGUCGACGGGUAGCCGGCCUGAGAGGGUGGACGGCCACAUUGGGACUGAGAUACGGCCCAGACUCCUACGGGAGGCAGCAGUGGGGAAUAUUGCACAAUGGGCGGAAGCCUUAUGCAGCGACUCCGCGUGGGGGAUGACGGCCUGCGGGUUGUAAACCUCUUUCGACAGGGACGAAGCUUCGGUGACGGUACCUGUAUAAGAAGCACCGGCUAACUACGUG
RNAcentral lists this ribosomal RNA (465 nucleotides) under uncultured bacterium. RNAcentral's name for it is "partial 16S ribosomal RNA". It matches the Rfam family "Bacterial small subunit ribosomal RNA", at positions 28 to 507 of the family's 1533-position model. The record is from RNAcentral.